AUGGUUAUUUAUUUUUUUGAGACAGAGUCUUUCUGUCACCCCGGCUAGAGUGCAACGGCUCAAUCUCAACUCACUGAAAUCUCCACUUCCUGGAUUCAAGCGAUUCUCCUGCCUCAGCCUCCUGAGUAGCUGGGAUUACAGGCGCCCACCACCACGCCUGGCUAAUUUUUGUAUUUUUAGUAGAGAUGGGGUUCACCAUAUUGGCCAGGAUGGUCUCAAACUGCUGACCUCGGGUGAUCUGCCUGCCUCAGGCUCCCAAAGUGCUGGGAUUACAGGUGUGAGCCAAGGAUCUUUAAAUGAUGUUCUCACUGACUGGAUUGCUGUCCCCCAUCUCUCUCUCUCUCUCUCCCCUUUUCUUUGGGGACUGUACACAUUCACCCUGCCAAGCCUUACUUGCCUGUCUUUGACCCUUCCUGGACCUGUCCCUACCCCAGACAAAGCUAAUCCUCCUGUUAUUCUGUCUCCAUACCGACAUGUGGAUGGAUCUCUGUUCUGACAUGAAUUCAUGCACUGCCUCUCAUUCAUCCAACAGACUUUUCAGGAACACCUGCUGUGUGGCCGGCACUGUAGUAGGUGCCAGGGAUACAAAGAAGAAACUUUCAGGGCUCUUAGGAAGACAGGAAAACAAGUCAAUCAGCAAUGGUCCUAGCGUGAUGAGGAAACUGAGGUUCUGAAUGAUUAGAUGACUCACCCGAUAUCACACAGCUGGUAAGCACGUGAACCAGGAUGAGAAACCCAGGCUAUCUAUGCCAGUGCCCAGUUAACCAGUUCACCAGAACACCAGAAGCCGCCCCCAGGGCUGCAAGCUGACCAUGCCUGGGACACAGGAGGUUGCAGUGGUGAAGAUCAACAGGCGGGGCGAGGAGCAUCUCCGUCUCCCUCUGAAGACCAUUUGGAAGAGGGUGUGAGAGCUGCCGCCAGGCUUUCCCAGAGAACAGCUGGGCCUGGAAGGGGCGGUCCAGGUCCCAUAAUAACUGCUACCUGCUGCUGCAGCAAUUUUCCCUGCUGGGUGUUUCCAAGUCCGAGUCUCCUGGGGGAGGAGGCUGGGAGGAGGAGGAGGAGGAGGGCUGAUUCUCUAAACUCCCCCUGCUUCUCACCAAAGGUCUGUCCUUGGCCCAGCUUCCCUUCCGAAGGUUGAGUAAUCUCAAAAAAUUGCAGCCUGGCAUGAAAGAGCAGGCCUGCAGGCCAAGCCAGAUCACGUCCGCACGCGGGAUGCUUGGCCCACAUGCUCCUGUACACUUGUAACUGUUAAACCAGAGGACAAGAAGCAACAGAUGUCCUCAGAUCACCAAACCAGCAAAUGCGCAGAGCCAUGGUGGGCGUCUGGCCCCAGUGCUUGGGUGGCCCCUAACAUCAGAUUAAGGAAAAAAGACCUCUCCUCAGCUGGAACGUCCCACUUCCUCCUCCCUCCUCCUCACCAGUAUUUUUCUCUCUGCUUUGCCUGGAUUGGAGUCCUGACCUGGCUACUCCCAGCUGUGUGAACUGGGCCAGCAACUUAGCUCCGUUGUGCCUCAGUUUCUCCAUCUCUAAAUGAAGCGCUUAUUCCUCUCUCAUGGAGCCGUCGUGAGAAUUACGUGAAUGAAUACAGGCUGACUACUUUGAACAGUGCCUGGUACUGUUAGUUUUCUCUUGUGUUCUCUACCAGAAGUUUCAAUGCCAAUGCCAAUAUAAACAAAUGCAGGCUGGGCGUGGUGGCUCACGCCUGUAAUCCCAGCACUUUGAGAGGCCAAGGCGGGCGGAUCACCUGAGAUGAGGAGUUCGACACCAGCCUGACCAACGUGGUGAAACCCUGUCUCUAUUAAAAAUACAAAAAUUAGCCGGGCGUGGUGACGUGCACUGUAGUCCCAGUUACUCAGGAGGCUGAAGCAGGAGAAUCACUUGAACCCGCGAGGCAGAGAUUGCAGUGAGCCGAGAUCGCGCCACUGCACUCCAGCCUGAGUGACAGAGCGAGACUCCCUCUGAAAAAAACAAAACAAAUACAAUAUUAACACCCACCCCAUUUUACCCAAAAGGUAGUGUUGUUCUGAACACACUAUUCAGUAGCUAGCUUUGCGUAUUCAUGAUCUAUCUUGUAGAAUGUUCCAUACCAGCAUCUAGAGAGGGUCCUCAUCCUUUCUUUCUUUUACAGCUUCAUAGUCGUGCAUGGUUCACCAGCGUUAUUACCUAUUCAUCUAGCCCCUCACUGAUGGGGACUCAGGUUAGCCCUCACCUUCUGCCUUAAAAGUAAAGCUCAAUGAAUAACCCUGGAUAUAUUUUGCACACAUACAAGUGUAUCUAUUAUCUAUAGCAGUGACUUUCAGCCCCAGUCGAACGUAAGCAUCACUCAGGGGGCUUUACAAAAAUCCCCAUACGGGUGGCACACAACUCUAAUCCCAGCACUUUGGAAGGCCAAGGCGGGCAGAUCACUUGAGCUCAGGAGUUCCAGACCAGCCUGGGCAACAUGGCAAAAACCUGUCUCUACAAAAAAAUACAAAAAUUAGCCAGGCGUGGUGGCACGUGCCUGUAGUCUCAGCUACUUGAGUGGCUGAGGUGGGAGGAUCGCUUGAGCCUGGGAGGUCAAGGCUGCAGUGUGCUGAGAUUGCACCACUGUACUCCAGCCUGGGUGACAGAGUUUUUUGAGGCAGGCAAGACCCUGCCUUUAAAAAAAAAAAAAAAAAUGCCGAGUGCGGUGUCUCAUGCCUGUAAUCUCAGCACUUUGGGAGGCCGAGGCGGGCAGAUCACGAGGUCAGGAGUUCAAGACCAGCCUGCCAACCCCAUCUCUACUAAAAAUACAAACAUUAGCCAGGCGUGGUGGUACGCACCUGUAACCCCAGCUACUCGGGAUGCAGAGGUUGCAGUAAGCCGAGAUCACGCCAUUGCACUCCAGCCUGGGCAACAGAGUGAGAUUCCUUCUCAAAAAAAAAAAAAAAAAUCUCCAUACCCAGGGCAUAUCUCAGACCAAUUAUAUCAGAAUGUCUGGGUGUGGGAUCAGGGGACCCUGGUGAUUCCCAUGUCCAGCCAUGGCUGGGCACCACUGACCCUAUAGGGUAAAUGGAUUGAUCAAGGGCACACAGACUUGUAAAUUUGCUAGACAUUGCCAACUGGCCUCUACGGCGGCUCCAUGGGGGUUGUGUCAAUUCACACUCCCACCAGCAAUGUACAAGAGGACCUGGGUCUUCCACAGCCUCCCCAGCAAAGUAGGCUUGUCAAAGUUUUUUAUUUUUACCAAACUGCUAGUUUAUUUAUUUAUUUUUUAAAGGUAUCUCAAUUUUGCUUUAAUUUGCAUUUCUCUUACUAGGAGUUGAGGUUGAGCAUCUUUUUGCAUGUUUAAGAUCAUUUAAUCUGUCUGGUCAUAUUCUGUGCCCAUUGUUCUUUUCAUUUUCUUUUUUUUAAGUUUGACUUCUCUAUAUUUUAGCAAGACUAAUUCUUUACUUGAGUUGCAAACACUUUUUACUGCUUUGUCUUUUUAUGUUUACACUUUGCAUGAGGUGGUAUGGUAUGUUUUUUUUUUUUUUUCCUGGAUCACUUUUUAUGUGUUUGAAUGUAUUCAUCUUUUCAAUGGCUUUUGGAUUUGGAUUUGGGUAACAUGGUUUAUGGUUAGAAGGAAGCUCCCCAUAUUUUCUUCUGGCACUUUUGUGAUUUCCUUUUUUUGAGACAGAGUCUCGCUUUAUCGCUCAAGCUCGAGUGCAAUGGUGCGAUCUCAGCUCACUGCAACCUCUGCCCCCCGCCCCGGGUUCAAGCGAUUCUCCUGCCUCAGCCUCCCAAGUAGCUGGGAUUACAGUCGUCUGCCACCACGCCUGGCUAAUUUUUGUAUUUUUAGUAGAGAUGGGCUUUCCCCCUGUUAUCCAGGCUGGUCUCGAACUCCUGAGCUUAUGAGAUCCUCCCACUUCAGCCUCCCAAAAUGCUGGGAUUACAGGAGUGAUCCACUGCGACUGGUCUGAUUUCCUUUAUUUGUGUUUAAAUUUUUGAUCCUUUUGGAAUUUUCCCUGAUCAAAGGAUCCACCUUUGUUCUUCUUUCUAAUGGCCAAUUGUCCCAUUACCCUUGUCAAGGAGUAAGGUAGGAAUGGCUUUGUGGGGUAUGAAAUGUGAAUUUCUUUUUGUCUUAUUUAUAACAGCAUCUGCCUCUACUCUUCUGAAACUGUGUUCCUGUCCACCCACCCAUUCAACUACCCAUUGAUUGACUGAUUGAUUGAUUCAUUCAAUUUCUCGUUUUUGUUUUUUUGCUUGUUGAGAAUUCUAACAUUAAUUGGACAUUGUCCCUGACCUUUUGGGUUUCUAUUUAGGAUUUGUUUUUAUCACUUAAUAACCAACAAUGAUGACAUUUUAUCGAAUGUCUAGUAUAUUUGUUCCAAGUAUCAUUUCAAUUACACUUAAAACAAAGCAGUGAUGUCAGUUAUACUAUUUUUCCCAUUUGAGGAGUCAUUUAAAAGAGGUUUUGAGGCUUUCCAAUGGCCCCCAGUUGGAAAGUGGCAGUACUGGAUGCAAUUCAAGAGCCCAGUCUUCAGGAUCCUGCCUUUUUACCUACCUGGACGCUGUAACUGGUCUCUGUGGAAUGGCUGGAUGAGGGAAUGAAUGAAUGAGUCAGUGAAGGAAUGAGGAAGACAGAAUGAGUCAGCUCGUGCUUUCAGAGGAGCCCAAAGGGAGAGGUUAAGAUAGGAAUGCAAAUGACCAGAAUCCAGAGUAAACGCGAGCCCACCAGCGUUUUGGAAGCAGUCCACUUUCUACCCCCUCCUAUUUAAAAUGCUUCAUUCUUUCCAGUUCCUCCCCACCUAGAAUCCAUGGAACCAAACGCUGGGGUAGGGACAGUGGCCAGCCUGUCUCCUUGGGUUUGACGCAUUACAUCAUCCACGUGGAGGUCCCCUGUGGAGCUCUGCAGCCC
Molecule: long non-coding RNA, 4858 nt
Filed under: Homo sapiens (human)
Lineage: Eukaryota; Metazoa; Chordata; Mammalia; Primates; Hominidae
Description: HSALNT0234532
Source: RNAcentral